Molecule: ribosomal RNA, 992 nt
Filed under: human gut metagenome
Description: bacterial LSU rRNA
Rfam family: Bacterial large subunit ribosomal RNA
Source: RNAcentral
AACUAUAACGGUCCUAAGGUAGCGAAAUUCCUUGUCAGGUAAGUUCUGACCCGCAUGAAAGGCGUAAUGAUUUGGGCACUGUCUCAACAGCCCGCCCGGCGAAAUUGUAGUACCGGUGAAGAUGCCGGUUACCCGCGACAAGACGGAAAGACCCCAUGGAGCUUUACUGUAGCCUAAUAUUGGGUUUCGAUGUUGCAUGCACAGGAUAGAUGGGACACUGGGAAACAAUCGCUUUGGCGGUUGCGGAGUGGCCGUUGGGAUACCAUCCUUGCGAUAUUGGAAUUCUAACCUGCGGCUCUGAAUCGAGUCGGGGGACAUUGUUAGGUGGGCAGUUUGACUGGGGCGGUCGCCUCCUAAAAAGUAACGGAGGCGUUCAAAGGUUCGCUCAGCUUGAACGGAAAUCAAGCAAAAGAGUGCAAACGCAGAAGCGAGCCUAACUGCGAGACUGACGGGUCGAGCAGUAACGAAAGUUGGAGUUAGUGAUCCGGUGGUAUGUGAGUGGAAAUGCCAUCGCUCAACGGAUAAAAGUUACCCUGGGGAUAACAGGCUGAUCUCCCCCAAGAGUCCACAUCGACGGGGAGGUUUGGCACCUCGAUGUCGGCUCAUCGCAUCCUGGGGCUGUAUUCGGUCCCAAGGGUUUGGCUGUUCGCCAAUUAAAGCGGUACGCGAGCUGGGUUCAGAACGUCGUGAGACAGUUCGGUCCCUAUCUGUCGUGGGCGCAGGAUAUUUGAUGGGAGCUGUCCCUAGUACGAGAGGACCGGGACGGACGUACCUCUGGCGCACCAGUUGUUCCGCCAGGAGCAUAGCUGGGCAACUACGUACGGAUCGGAUAAACGCUGAAAGCAUCUAAGCGUGAAGCCGACCCAAAGAUAAGAUAUCCCACUGAUUUAAUCAGGUAAGACCCCUUGAAGACUACAAGGUUGAUAGGCACGAUGUGUAAGUGGAGCGAUCCAUUCAGCAAGCGUGUACUAAUAGGUCGAGGGCUUGACCAC